RNAcentral lists this ribosomal RNA (460 nucleotides) under uncultured bacterium. RNAcentral's name for it is "partial 16S ribosomal RNA". It matches the Rfam family "Bacterial small subunit ribosomal RNA", at positions 338 to 795 of the family's 1533-position model. The record is from RNAcentral.
CCUACGGGAGGCUGCAGUGAGGAAUAUUGGUCAAUGGGCGCGAGCCUGAACCAGCCAAGUAGCGUGAAGGAUGAAUGCCCUCCGGGUUGUAAACUUCUUUUAUAAAGGAAUAAAGUGAGGCACGUGUGCCUUUAUGUAUGUACUUUAUGAAUAAGGAUCGGCUAACUCCGUGCCAGCAGCCGCGGUAAUACGGAGGAUCCGAGCGUUAUCCGGAUUUAUUGGGUUUAAAGGGAGCGUAGAUGGGUUGUUAAGUCAGUUGUGAAAGUUUGCGGCUCAACCGUAAAAUUGCAAUUGAUACUGGCAGUCUUGAGUACAGUUGAGGUAGGCGGAAUUCGUGGUGUAGCGGUGAAAUGCUUAGAUAUCACGAAGAACUCCGAUUGCGAAGGCAGCUUACUAAACUGCCACUGACAUUGAUGCGCGAAAGUGUGGGUAUCAAACAGGAUUAGAUACCCGAGUAGUC